UACCAUACCAAGCAGCGGAAUCCACUGCUCAUCAAUGGUAGAUUCUCGGAGUGCCACGCAUCCACCGCACUACGGAGGCGGGGUACUUCGCCAGAUGUCUUCGGGUGUCUGGGCUGCUUAAUUUUUGAUUUUCUGGAAGGAUUUACUAAUCUUCCCCUU
This 159-nucleotide small nuclear RNA is filed under the name Tuber melanosporum Mel28. RNAcentral describes it as "U1 spliceosomal RNA". It matches the Rfam family "U1 spliceosomal RNA". From Rfam's summary of the family: U1 is a small nuclear RNA (snRNA) component of the spliceosome (involved in pre-mRNA splicing). Its 5' end forms complementary base pairs with the 5' splice junction, thus defining the 5' donor site of an intron. There are significant differences in sequence and secondary structure between metazoan and yeast U1 snRNAs, the latter being much longer (568 nucleotides as compared to 164 nucleotides in human). The record is from RNAcentral. Lineage: Eukaryota; Fungi; Ascomycota; Pezizomycetes; Pezizales; Tuberaceae.